AAAAUACGAUUUUCUUGAGUUUUGAAUAGAAAAUAAUCAUCAUAUCGUUUAAUACAGCAUAUCAAAUCGAAUCAUUUUUCUACAGUAACAAGAAAUUACAGCAACAGUGUUUCCAACAGACAGAUGAACUACACAAUUUUCCGAACGUAUGUCGAUUAGUUUUCUGACGUAAAUCCAGGUCUUCAUUGUUUACGUGAUUACAAUGUUAAAGUUGUGAGUGCCUGCAGUUGUGAAAGUGGUUGAAACAUCUAGAACAGCGUGGAAAAACAUUCGUUCCCAAUGAAAACGUCCAGCGCUCUAAUUAGUACCCGCCUUUCAAUAUAUCAGGUUAGAUUUGUAUAUGCUAAACGAACAUAACUGAUCAAAAAGUAGGGUUAAAGGCUACACUUUUAUUUUGAUACUCAGGAUGGAGCACCACUGCACUGGCACCAUCUUGUAAGAGUAUUUCAUCGUCCUACAUGCUUCCCCUUCCAACAUCUUUGGGUGAACUACGACGCCACAUAGCAGAAUCAGUGAAUGCAGUAAAUCGAGACAUAUACAUAAAGUAAAGAAUUUGUUUAUCAGCUGGAUGCUUUUCAUGCAUCAGGUGGAGGGCACACUGGAAUUUAUGAAAACUGCUGAUGUGAGAGGGAUGGAAAAUGUUUCUAAAAGAAGAAUAUGGGAGUUAUUGCUGGGAUCUGCACACCAUUUUACACAGAACUUUGUCAUGGCGGUAAUUAAGGUGUUUACAAUGAGAAUGUUCAAGAAAGAAUUUUAAAUUCACCUUCUACAAUUUUUAAUGAUACAACAGUAUCAAACAGUUAACAGUAAAUUCCUUGCCUUUUCUCUUAGUAACAUGUUUCCGUGUCAACUUUCUCUAUAAAUAAUUUAAAUAUAGAAUUAGACCUUGUGUGCUUGUUACCUUUGUGAAAUCACAAUUAUGUGUGUGGCAUUUGUUCUUUCUAACAUGUCGAAAAGAACAGACACUACAAAUAUAAUGGUACUAAUUAUAA
This is a long non-coding RNA of Schistocerca americana (American grasshopper), 992 nucleotides long. RefSeq lists it as uncharacterized. Lineage: Eukaryota; Metazoa; Arthropoda; Insecta; Orthoptera; Acrididae. The transcript has 3 exons. The record is from RefSeq and is a predicted model, not a curated record.